This 778-nucleotide ribosomal RNA is filed under the name Musca domestica (house fly). RNAcentral describes it as "eukaryotic LSU rRNA". It matches the Rfam family "Eukaryotic large subunit ribosomal RNA", at positions 285 to 907 of the family's 3401-position model. Lineage: Eukaryota; Metazoa; Arthropoda; Insecta; Diptera; Muscidae. The record is from RNAcentral.
GCACUAAGUGGGUGGUAAACUCCAUCUAAAACUAAAUAUAACCAUGAGACCGAUAGUAAACAAGUACCGUGAGGGAAAGUUGAAAAGAACUCUGAAUAGAGAGUUAAAAAGUACGUGAAACUGCUUAGAGGUUAAGCCCGAUGAACCUGAAUAUCCAUUAUGGAAAAUUCAUCGUUACGAUUGCUAUAUGAAUAAUAUAGUGAGAAUGGCGUGCAUUUUUUCCAUAUAAGGACAUUGUAAUCUAUUAACAUACACAAUUUAUCAUAAGAUCGAUGGCGAAAGUUUAUUCAAAUUAGUAUGCUUGCGUAUUAACAUAGAAUAAGUGCUGUCGAUUGGAUAAAGUGUUGAUAGAUCUAUUAUAUAUAGCGCUUGAAUACUUGUAUUCUAUAAUGGCACAUUAAUCUUGAUUUUUGUGUUUAUUAUAUGCGCUUAUAUGAUUUACAAUGCGAAAGAUUCAGGAUACCUUCGGGACCCGUCUUGAAACACGGACCAAGGAGUCUAACAUAUUUGCAAGUUAUUGGGAAUUUAAACCUAAUAGCGAAAUUAACAUAACUUUUAUGGGAUUAGUUUUUAGUCUAUUUAUAGUCUAUUAAUUCAAUCCCGGGGCGUUCUAUCAGUUAUGCAUAAUAAUAUUUAUAUUAUUUAUGCCUCUAACCAGAGCGUACCUUGAGCAUAUAUGCUGUGACCCGAAAGAUGGUGAACUAUACUUGAUCAGGUUGAAGUCAGGGGAAACCCUGAUGGAAGACCGAAACAGUUCUGACGUGCAAAUCGAUUGUCA